RNAcentral lists this ribosomal RNA (467 nucleotides) under uncultured bacterium. Its description in RNAcentral is "partial 16S ribosomal RNA". It matches the Rfam family "Bacterial small subunit ribosomal RNA", at positions 328 to 792 of the family's 1533-position model. The record is from RNAcentral.
AUUCCAGACUCCUACGGGAGGCAGCAGUGAGGAAUAUUGGUCAAUGGGCGGGAGCCUGAACCAGCCAAGUCGCGUGAGGGAAGACGGUCCUAUGGAUUGUAAACCUCUUUAGGCGGGGAGCAAUGCCGGGCACGUGUGCCCGGAGGGAGAGUACCCGCAGAAUAAGCAUCGGCUAACUCCGUGCCAGUAGCCGCGGUAAUACGGAGGAUGCGAGCGUUAUCCGGAUUUAUUGGGUUUAAAGGGUGCGUAGGCGGAUUUUUAAGUCAGCGGUAAAAUGUCCGGGCUCAACCCGGGCCGGCCGUUGAAACUGGCGUGCUCGAGUUGGAGAGAAGUAUGCGGAAUUCGUGGUGUAGCGGUGAAAUGCAUAGAUAUCACGAAGAACCCCGAUUGCGAAGGCGGCCUGCUGGACUGCAACUGACGUUGAGGCCCGAAAGCGUGGGGAGCAAACAGGAUUAGAUACCCGAGUA